GUAGGGAAUAUUGGGCAAUGGAUGCAAGUCUGACCCAGCCAUCCCGCGUGCCGGAAGAAGGCCCUCAGGGUUGUAAACGGCUUUUGACGGUGAAGAAUCGACAGGAUGCGUCCUGUUUUGACGGUAGCCGUUGAAUAAGCACCGGCUAACUCCGUGCCAGCAGCCGCGGUAAUACGGAGGGUGCGAGCGGUGUCCGGAUUUAUUGGGUUUAAAGGGUGCGUAGGCUGGAAGGUCAGUAAGCGGUGAAAAGCUGUCGCUUAACGAUAGUCUUGCCGCAGAUACUUCCUUUCUUGGAUGAGGAGGAGGCCACUGGAACGGAUGGUGUAGCGGUGAAAUGCAUAGAUAUCAUCCAGAACACCGAUUGCGAAGGCAGGUGGCUGUACCUUAAUCGACGCUGAUGCACGAAAGCAUGGGGAGCAAACAGGAUUAGAAACCCGAGUAGUCC
Molecule: ribosomal RNA, 445 nt
Filed under: uncultured bacterium
Lineage: Bacteria
Description: partial 16S ribosomal RNA
Rfam family: Bacterial small subunit ribosomal RNA
Source: RNAcentral